UACGUAGGGGGCGAGCGUUGUCCGGAGUUACUGGGCGUAAAGGGCAUGCAGGCGGUCGGACGCGUUUCGGGUGACAGCGGGUGGCUUAACUACCCGAGUGGUCGAAAGACGGUUUGACUUGAGGACGCGAGAGGGACACGGAAUUCCGGGUGGAGUGGUGAAAUGCGUAGAGAUCCGGAGGAACACCGAAGGCGAAGGCAGUGUCCUGGCGCGUAACUGACGCUAAGGUGCGAAAGCCAGGGGAGCGAACGGG
Molecule: ribosomal RNA, 253 nt
Filed under: uncultured bacterium
Lineage: Bacteria
Description: partial 16S ribosomal RNA
Rfam family: Bacterial small subunit ribosomal RNA
Source: RNAcentral